GCGGCGGAGGGUGAGUAACACGUGGGUAACCUGCCUGUAAGACUGGGAUAACUCCGGGAAACCGGGGCUAAUACCGGAUGGUUGUCUGAACCGCAUGGUUCAGACAUAAAAGGUGGCUUCGGCUACCACUUACAGAUGGACCCGCGGCGCAUUAGCUAGUUGGUGAGGUAACGGCUCACCAAGGCGACGAUGCGUAGCCGACCUGAGAGGGUGAUCGGCCACACUGGGACUGAGACACGGCCCAGACUCCUACGGGAGGCAGCAGUAGGGAAUCUUCCGCAAUGGACGAAAGUCUGACGGAGCAACGCCGCGUGAGUGAUGAAGGUUUUCGGAUCGUAAAGCUCUGUUGUUAGGGAAGAACAAGUGCCGUUCAAAUAGGGCGGCACCUUGACGGUACCUAACCAGAAAGCCACGGCUAACUACGUGCCAGCAGCCGCGGUAAUACGUAGGUGGCAAGCGUUGUCCGGAAUUAUUGGGCGUAAAGGGCUCGCAGGCGGUUUCUUAAGUCUGAUGUGAAAGCCCCCGGCUCAACCGGGGAGGGUCAUUGGAAACUGGGGAACUUGAGUGCAGAAGAGGAGAGUGGAAUUCCACGUGUAGCGGUGAAAUGCGUACAGAUGUGGAGGAACACCAGUGGCGAAGGCGACUCUCUGGUCUGUAACUGACGCUGAGGAGCGAAAGCGUGGGGAGCGAACAGGAUUAGAUACCCUGGUAGUCCACGCCGUAAACGAUGAGUGCUAAGUGUUAGGGGGUUUCCGCCCCUUAGUGCUGCAGCUAACGCAUUAAGCACUCCGCCUGGGGAGUACGGUCGCAAGACUGAAACUCAAAGGAAUUGACGGGGGCCCGCACAAGCGGUGGAGCAUGUGGUUUAAUUCGAAGCAACGCGAAGAACCUUACCAGGUCUUGACAUCCUCUGACAAUCCUAGAGAUAGGACGUCCCCUUCGGGGGCAGAGUGACAGGUGGUGCAUGGUUGUCGUCAGCUCGUGUCGUGAGAUGUUGGGUUAAGUCCCGCAACGAGCGCAACCCUUGAUCUUAGUUGCCAGCAUUCAGUUGGGCACUCUAAGGUGACUGCCGGUGACAAACCGGAGGAAGGUGGGGAUGACGUCAAAUCAUCAUGCCCCUUAUGACCUGGGCUACACACGUGCUACAAUGGACAGAACAAAGGGCAGCGAAACCGCGAGGUUAAGCCAAUCCCACAAAUCUGUUCUCAGUUCGGAUCGCAGUCUGCAACUCGACUGCGUGAAGCUGGAAUCGCUAGUAAUCGCGGAUCCGCUGCCGCGAAUUUCC
Molecule: ribosomal RNA, 1285 nt
Filed under: Bacillus subtilis
Lineage: Bacteria; Bacillati; Bacillota; Bacilli; Caryophanales; Bacillaceae
Description: bacterial SSU rRNA
Rfam family: Bacterial small subunit ribosomal RNA
Source: RNAcentral